ACCGACCCGCUUGGCGGCCGCCUGGCCCGGGCGUGCAGCGGCGCGCAGGGGGCGGGGACGGAGCCGCUUCUCCUGCCGGGUGAGGGAGCGGCGGCGGCGGGAGCUCGGCCGGAGGCGCGGCGGCGGUCUGCGCUGCAGGAGCAACAUGGUGCUGAGCGCGGAGCAGGUGAACCUCAUCGGGCAGGUGUUCGAGUCCUACGUGCUGGAGCACCACCGGGACGACAUCCUGGGCAUCCUGAGGGAGCCGGAUGAUGAGGCGCACUACCCUGUCGUCGUCGACGCCCUGACGCUCUUCGAGACCAACAUGGAAGUCGGGGAGUAUUUCAACGCCUUCCCCAGUGAGGUCCUCACGAUUUUCGACAGCGCGCUGCGCCGGGCUGCCCUGGCCGUGCUGCAGGCCGACACGGUCCCCACACAGCUCAGCGCCAAGCACAACCUCCAUGCCAGGGUCUCGGGUUUGCCUGUUUGCCCAGAGCUGACUCGAGAGCACAUUCCUAAAACCAGGGACGUGGGUCACUUUUUGUCUGUCACUGGGACGGUCAUACGCACCAGUUUGGUGAAAGUGUUGGAGUAUGAACGGAGUUACAUCUGCAAUAAGUGCAAGCACGUGUUUGUCGUCAAGGCUGACUUUGAACAGUACUACGCGUUCUGUCGUCCAUCAGCCUGUCUCAAUGAAGAAGGCUGCAACUCAACCAAGUUCACCUGUCUCUCUGGAACAACCUCUUCUACCUGCUGCAGAGACUAUCAAGAAAUCAAAAUUCAGGAACAGGUCCAAAGACUGUCUGUUGGGAGCAUCCCUCGUUGCAUGGUGGUUAUUCUGGAAGAUGACUUGGUGGACAGUUGCAAGUCUGGAGAUGACAUCACAGUGUAUGGAGUGGUAAUGCAGAGGUGGAAACCUUUCCGUGAGGAUGCACGCUGUGACUUGGAGCUUGUUUUGAAAGCAAACUACAUUAAAGUAAACAAUGAGCAGCUAGCGGGGGUUGUAAUUGAUGAAGAAGUCCGAAAGGAAUUUGAAGACUUCUGGGAAAAGCAUAGGAAUGAUCCCUUAGCAGGGAGGAAUGAAAUUUUGGCUAGCUUAUGUCCUCAAGUUUUCGGGUUGUACCUGGUGAAGUUGGCCGUAGCCAUGGUGCUUGCUGGUGGUGUGCAGAGGACUGAUGCUACUGGAACUCGAGUCAGAGGUGAAUCACAUCUUCUGUUGGUUGGAGACCCAGGUACGGGGAAAUCUCAGUUUCUCAAGUAUGCAGUGAAGAUUAUACCACGGUCUGUGCUUACUGCAGGAAUUGGAUCUACGAGUGCAGGUUUGACAGUGACUGCUGUGAAGGACUUUGGGGAGUGGAACUUGGAAGCUGGAGCACUGGUGCUUGCAGAUGGAGGCCUUUGUUGCAUUGACGAGUUCAAUAGUAUCAAAGAACAUGACAGAACAAGUAUCCAUGAAGCCAUGGAGCAACAAACCAUCAGUGUUGCAAAGGCAGGCUUGGUGUGCAAGCUUAAUACAAGGACAACUAUCCUGGCAGCAACAAACCCAAAAGGCCAUUAUGACCCUAAUGAGUCGAUCUCUGUCAACAUAGCUCUUGGUAGUCCCCUGUUGAGCAGAUUUGACCUGGUCUUAGUGUUGUUAGAUACAAAAAAUGAGGAAUGGGACCGCAUCAUUUCAUCCUUCAUCUUGCAAAAUAAAGGUUUCCCAAGCAAAUCAGAAAAGCUCUGGAGCAUGGAAAAGAUGAAAACCUACUUCUGCCUUAUAAAAAGUAUACAGCCAAAAUUAUCUGAUGAGAGCAACCUGAUCCUCAUGCGCUACUAUCAAAUGCAGCGUCAGAGUGACUGCAGAAAUGCUGCCCGAACUACAAUUCGCUUAUUAGAGAGUUUGGUACGCCUUGCAGAAGCUCAUGCCCGGUUGAUGUUUAGGGAUACUGUGACCGUGGAAGAUGCUGUAACUGUGGUAUCGGUGAUGGAAUCUUCCAUGCAGGUUGAUAUGAAUAUAUACAAAUUUAAACAAUUUUACAUAGCGCCCGUUAGCUCAAUGGACCUUAGAGACCUUUGCAGGAGGAGAUGUGCUCCUCUUGGAGAGAAAGCUCUUGAGGAUAAAUGCACAAAGUCACAUAUGGCAGGGGGGUGCACUUCUCGGAGGCAUCAAUGCCUUGCACACUUCAUUUCCAGAAGAUCCAAUGGCGCAGUACCGAACACAGUGUGAACUCAUAUUGGAGCAACUGGAGCUGCAAGAUCUUCUGCACAAAGAACUACAAAGACUUGACAGAUUACAAAAGAAGAAUUCCCACCAGCUGCAGCCUGAAGAAACAAGUUUCAGUACUACUACAGAGUGCUUGAACAAGGAUACAUUUGGGCAGUCAGAGCAAAUGUCUCAGCCAGAACCUUCAAACCAACCAGAGAGUAACACCAGGCCACAGGUUUCUUUGCCCGAAGGCAGCUGUGAAGGGAAUAUACAUCCAGAACCCUUAUGCAACCCGGCACGUGGUAAUAACCAAAAUACAAAAUGCUUGAUUAAACAUAGAAGGAGAGGUGAUGAUGACAGCCUGGCAUGGUUUGAUAGCCUGGAAGAGAGCAACACUGAUGCUGAAGAAGCUUUUCAGAAGUCUCCAGUGCCCGAGAUACCUUCGAGUAACUUGAUGUCAAAAACCCUGUGUGAGACAUCCUGUUCUGAAGAAACAAAUGCUUCUGGACCAAGGAGGGGAAAUGGAAUGAGAGAGUCACUAGCAACUGUGAAGCUACAUGCUCCUUUAGAACAAGACAAAGUUUCCAAGAUAGGCAGGAAAAGGGCUGAAGAACACACCUGUUUUUCUUCAGAAGCAAAUAUUCAAGACCCAGCAUCACCAAGCAGUAGUGUGCAGGAUUCAGUUAUUACACAACGUGUUUCUAAAAGCUGGCAGAGACUACACAGGGAAAAAUCACGUGGAUUCUUUACAAGUACACAAGACCCUGAAGCAAAGGCCCUUGCUUCAGUAUUACCUGUGUCUGGCCUGGCAGAUCUUUCAAGUGAUACAGAUUCUGUGCCAGGGGAGGAAAAGAACAACAUAGCUGUAGCAGCAAAAACUUCAACAACUUCCAUGAGAAAACGAAGCAAAGGUCGAGUAGUGAAGGAAACAAAGGUAGUAAGUUCCCAUGACCCAGAAAUCCUUGACAGUGAAAGUCCUCCAGCAGCUAAACUAGCUAAAUUUUCUUUCAGACCAAGGACAAAACUUGAUCAUUCUUCAGAAGAGAAAAAUGAGGAAUUUUCUCUUUUAUCGAGUGAAACUAUUUUUAAGCCUGGAGAGCAGCUCCAGGGAGAGCAGCUGCCAGAAGAAUGUUGCCCCCCUGAGAAACGCAAGAUGACAUUGACUCGCUUAGGAAACAGUAGUUUGGAAAAACAAUCAAUUGAUAAUAAAGGGAGAGAAGAGCAACAGAGUCAGGCCUUAGGGAAAGAGAUCAGAGGAGGUGCAACAGCACACUCUGAUGUCAGUUUUGAUGCCACAUCAUCUCCACCCACACAAAAGAAAAGGGAGGGAGAGGAGAAGCUUGGUAGCCCAAGCAAAGGGAAGGUGCGCUCCAGCACGUUAGCCAAGCUGUCAACAUUCGCAUUUGCAUCACGUCCUGAGUCAAAAUCAGAAACCUCACCUGCCAUUAAAACGGACACUAACAAGGAGAGCCGUGGCCCGUUGCUGAAGGUGCAUGUGAGCAAUCCUAGUGGAAGGAAGAGUUUUGCAUUGGGAAAUGCUGAUAAAGCCACUGUGGUCCCACAGAAAGCUCUGUUCUCGAUAGCAGAGCUAGAUGAUGCUACAUUAGAUUUUGACUGGGAUGAAGAGGUUAGGAAAAAUCCAACCACCUAACAUGUAUAUCUUCCAAAUGACUUCACAUACCGUUCUGAUUCUCCAUCCUUCUAUCAAUUGUACCGUAGUUUACAAAGCAUUUAAAAAAUAAUCACCCCGGACCUCUGUUGAUACCAAUGAACGUACUUUUGUUAUGGGCCAUAUACUUUACAUCAGCUAAGGACUGCAUAUACUGGCUUUUAGUGUUCUAAACUCUUCCCAAGACUGCUUAUAUUGGUUGACUGUUUUGAUUGACAUGACAUAACCUGAAGAGUUGUGUGGUUAUGCUUAUAUAUCCAGAGUACAGUGAAUCUUGCAAAAGAGCAUGUUUAAUUGACCAAUGUAAUUUAUUUUGUAUAAUGGUUAGAACUAUAUGUGAUUCAGAGGGUCCUUCCAAAUGCCUCUGUCACUUUAGAAAAAUGAUGAUGCUAAAACUAUGUCAUUAUAUUUUGUUUAUCUACAUAUACUGUUUGUCUCAGUGUAGUUAGCAAUAUUGUGAUUUAUCAUCAUGCUGUGGUAAGUAUUUCUGUAUUAUCACUAUCAUGACAAUUUUGCUGCAUCUCUGGUUACUGUGUUCCUUGUCACACUGCUGAUGUUGAACACAUAGAUCAAGGGAUUUUUCUUUCUGUUUUUGUUUUUGUUUGUUGUUUUUUUCAAAUUUCAUUUUUAAAUACACUGGUUCAGGUAUCUGUGUCUGUAUUCUAGGUCAUUUUAUCAAAACCCAACUCUGUAAUAAACAUACAGUUCUCCAUUGCAGAGAAAACAAA
Molecule: RNA transcript, 4564 nt
Organism: Columba livia (rock pigeon)
Lineage: Eukaryota; Metazoa; Chordata; Aves; Columbiformes; Columbidae
Gene: MCM9
Gene name: minichromosome maintenance 9 homologous recombination repair factor
Exons: 14
Source: RefSeq, a predicted model, not a curated record